UCCACUCCUUCCAGAGGCCAGGACAAUAGGUCAGUCCCUGCCCCAGACAGGUUACAGUGGGGACAUGCUCCAGCUCCCUACACUUCUGCCCUGUCCAGCCAUGGGCUUGUUGAGACAGGCCCAACUGUGGGAUCAUGUGUCAGCCUACCCUCAGCCUGACUCUGUCCCUAGGGAGGUGCAUUGUACCUGAAGACGGUGCAGCCCCUGUGGCUGCUAGUUUCCUGGCUGGGACAGUGGGAACAGCUUUUGAUUCUGAAAAGCCCCGGUCCAGCUGUCCUGUGUGGAGCCCCUGAAGGCUCCUCAAACCCAGCCCAAGGAAAGCCACCAGCUUUUGCAGCUUCCUGAGAGGCAGGUCCAUCACAGGAUGUUGACUCCACCCCUUCCCUGGACAGCCUGUUCCGAUGUAUUACCAUGCCUUCUGAGAAAAAAUUAUUCCUAAUAUCCAACCUGAACCUCCCGUGCUGCAACUUAAGGACAUUACCUCUCACAAGAACACUAGUUACCUGGGAGAAGAGGCUGACCCUCACCUUCCUACAACCUCCUUUCAGCACGAACCCUAAACAACUUCUGCAUAUCAAGCAAGGAAAUGUACUGAUUAAAAGGUACUAGUGUCUGCAUGGUAACUGUUGAGACAUGGCCUGAACCACUGAUUGAGCACCUGGGGAAAGGACUCAGUCAGCCUUGAGAACACAGGUGUGGGUAAUUCACCUGUGUGACCAGAAGGGCUGGAGCCUGGCUCCACCUCUCUUAGACCUCAUUCGAGGGCUGACUGCCACUCUGGAAGGAUUUCUGGUUGGAGAUCCCUCCUUUGUGGAGUUUUUCCCUGCAAGCCUAGAUCUUCAGAGAUGGUUCUUUCCCCCAUCUUACUGUGGGGGAAUGAGUGGUUGUGAUCUGCCUGCUGACUUAAACUACUACCAGCAGGGUAGUGGAGCUCAAGGAAGAGGUAGAGAGAUUAAGAUCCAUCAGGGAAUGUGAGCGGGAAAUAGACUGGUGGUGUAACUCUCUGCCGGAAAGACGCCGGAGUGAAACCCCUCAGUCGGUGGCAGAUCCUCUCGCCUGCCAUGAUCGAGCUGAGGGAAACAAACUGGGAGAAGAGGAGGAAUGGAAGCAGGUCCCAGCUUGGCGACGCAGGCAACCCCCAUCCUGGCCUACCUUGCUUCCCCAGGUGCCUCUGUGUAACAGGUUUGAGGCCCUGGAACCUGAGAGAGAGACAAUUCCAGAUCCUGUUCUGAGAGGGUGGUUUUUUUGGUUUUAUGUGCAGAACUGAAGCUUUGAGCACUCAGUUGCUAUGGUAACAAAAAGGACAGAAACAGUUUAUGUAUUUCAAAAGCUGUCAGCCUAACUGCUGGAGAUUUUGAUAACUAAACCUAAACACGAACCAUCCUUUUUUAAAACCAUUGUGACAUUUAUUACUGUGCAUAGCUGUUGCUAGGGAAAACAAGGCAACUAUUUGUUUAGCUUAUUUCCUGUCAGUUUUAUAAAUAGUAUGGAUUUUAGAGUUAAUUCAUAAUCUUAAUCAGUGUUUAUCAAAUCUGAAUGGAAAUAAAAAGUGAGCUGGCAAAUGGUGUGCUUUUCUCUUUUUUUUUUUUAAAUAAAUUGAAUGACUGUGCUGCAAUAGAAAGACAGAACCACUAAUGUAAGGCAUCUUUUCUAUAUUACAGUUGAUACAUACUAAUAUGUGCUCAAACAAUGUUAAAUGGAGAAUGAAAAAGAAAAAAGUAUUUUUACUGUAUAUCACAGAAAAUACAGCAUUUUUCUAAGCCUUAAAAGAGAGUGGAGAUGCUGGGAAGAAUUUGGAAUGAAAAGAGACUUAUUCAAUAGUUAGCUUUUAUAGAUACUGAUAUUGUCCACUGUCCUAUAAGGCAUUUGUCUUACCACAUGAUAGUGAAAGUUUGUAACGAGCAUAAAGCUCCUCUCAGUUACAUCUCAGGAAGUAACACAGUUGAGCUCAGUUAGAAGAGGGGAAAAAAAAAGAUCAUUACUUAAGAAGGAUUUCUUGAAGGCAGAGAGGAAAGAGAGUGGAAUAAAACUGUCAGAACACUUUUUACAGUAUUUUGGCACAUACCCUCUAGCUUUUCCUUUUCUAAGCCACGCUUCACAAUAUCACAAAGAAGCCUGUGAUUUUUUUCAAGAUUCUAAUUUGUUAAAUAGUGAUAGUUGUGCUUCUAGAAGACAUGGCUUAAUAGAUUUGAGAUCAAAUGCUAUAGACACACUGCUGUUCUGUUCCCUGAUCUAUAUCAAAGCAACAUGAAAAUAUGUGUUGCAAUACAAGCAGAUGUUCAGAAUUCCUAAUAACAAAAUUCCAAGGGCUUCAGGGAGUUAGAAGGAAGACAAAGCCAUAGAAAAUUAGAGCAAUGAACACUUUUUAAUUUCUGGCUUUCCUAGUAGUAAGACUUGCAUCUUCAUUCAGCCAAGUAACUGGUAACUUAUACUAAACUCUUCACAGGUUUGGAAACUUGCUCUGGAUGUAUAUAAAAAUUAUUACCACGAGUCCUGCAACAUUUAAAUUUAAUUAAAUACUGUAAAGCAAAAAAAAAAAAAUUUUUCGUAAUAUUGAAAGUCAUUUGAUAGCGUAAAACUUCUAUGCAUCUCUGCCUAGAAGUUCAUUUUGAGUUGAACAAACAAAAAAAAAAAAUAGAGAAAAACUCAGUGCUUUUAAAAACUUCACCCUUGACAUCUUGUUUGUGCAGGUGGUAGAACACUAACCUAGCAAUUGGGUUUAUUAUAAUAAAUAUCAUGGGGGUUGCUUUUCCAAAUGCUUUUAGUACAUAAUAGGGAAUAUUUCCAGUUGAAAAUAUAUAUAUAUAUUGCAAUACCAUCACACAGUAAUUCACUGGCUUGUUUUAUAAUUGGCCUACAGUUUCAGCAGUUAGAAGAGUUGGGCUGAAGUCCUAGUUCUAUUGCAGUAGAUUAAAAGAAUUUAAGUUAGAUUAAUUUAGAUGGGACCAGAAUUGUGUUUGCCAAAUCAGCCAUUGCCUGUUACUUUUUUUGCUGCAUAAUCUUAGGCUAAAGAAAAUCAUUAUCCAUUAGAUGAGGAAAGUAAUUUCUCUUCCCCACCCCUCUACCCCCAGUAAAAGGGAUGCCUUCAAGGUCAUAUUUGCUAAUGACUUUUAAAUUACUAUGCAUUUGUAUAUAAUCACUAAUAGACUAUGAAGAAUUAUGUGAGUCUCAGAGACAAGUGUUCUGAAUAUACACAGUAUAUUACAGAAAAUGCUACAUGUGCUUCAGUAGGAAUAUGACACAGACUUCAGUAUUAUUUAAACUGUAUUGCGCACUAAAAAAAAUCCCACUGCUAUCAGUAAAAAAAAUAAGAACAGAACGAACAACAACAAAAGCCAUCUAAAUGCUGCUUAGUCUUUGGUGUCCCCACCAAAAAGAGGAAAAAAAUCCUCAUAAAAUAGCCCAUACUGAAGCAAAAGAGAUCAUGCGUGUUGCACAGAAAGGGAAGAGAAAACUAAUAAUACAGAUUACUGAGGAAGAUAUUAAUAUGUAUUUGUCCCAUGUAUUUCAGACCUUAGUCAAGAGAGUGUUGCAGUGGAUCUGAGAGUAAUACAGCAUCCUGAAGAGAACAAGAGGUAGUUGAGUUCUUUAAUUAUUUUUAAAGGACUGAUUGAGCUAAUAGCUGGAUUAAUUUAACAAAACCAGGUGAAUAAAGAAAUAGAAAGAGAGAUGUCUCUCAAAAUCAGAUUUAUCAAGAGGAAUAUCCUUAUCAUUCUGUUCCAGUCCUACCAUAAUCAGGAAGGAGUGAAAACAAAAACUAAUCAUAGCACUGUGCUGUGUUACUCACAAGAUCGUAACUGGCAGUAAAAUAGAAAGACUGUCUGCUGCAGUGAAUAAUUUCCAUGCUGAGGCCCAGAACAGACAAGUACUAUCAUUUGUAACAUCUGUCUCAAAAAACCUGAGCCAAAAUGAGCUAGUUAGAAAGUUACAUGUCUUCCUUUUAUUUCAAGAAGCUUGGCUUAAAAAAGCCUUCAGGGAUUUACAUUUUGAGAGAUUUUUCUAAAACAGAUAAAACACAUGAACCAUGGCACAAAAAGACGUUUAUGCAUCUUAUUUUAGAAAAACAUAAUCAUGAGGUACUAUGUAAUGGUGUAUAUGUGUAUGCAUACCUAUGUAAGUAUAUACCUAUACCCUUCAAGGUACUUACUGGAAAAUGUGCCCUUAAUGCUAAGUGAGUAAGUGUAUUAAAUACUCUAUGAAUAACAGAAACCUACAAAAAAAAAUCUAUGAUAAUUCAAGUGUAACCCAAUGAAAAAAGCUUAGGUUGUUCCUUCCUCCCUUCCUUUUUCCUUCUUCUCCUUCUCUCCCUCCUGUUAUGUGUUUCUGUUAAGAGUACAUUAAACACACAAAUGUUUGUCUCUUUACACAACUGUUUUUUAUCAUUAUAGAUCAUGAAGGGAGAAGUGACGAGACAUAAUUUCCCUUUGUGCAGGUAAUGGUGCUAGACUCAGUUCUGUUGUUUGAUCUAAGUGUUAAGAGAAAGAAAAAACACUAACCUACCUUUAAGAUGGAAGCUACUUUAAGUAUAUGUUACUGAUUACGUCUUCAUCAGCAUCAAUUACUGCAGUCAUCUGGUAUAUUUUGCUUGUUACAACAUAAAUUAUAAUAUAUAAAUUCAAUGCUGAGUCAGUUCAUUUUUAAUUUGCCGGAUUCAUUGUAUAACUAAUACUGAAAGGCUGAAAGCAUUUUAUUCAAUUCUCAGUCUUGUCUUCUCAGCAGUCUGAAAUAAUUCUGUUUUAAUGCAGUAAGAUGUAAUUCUUUUUCCAAAAGCUGUAUGUAGUUUGUGCAAAGAAUUUGCAGAAAAGUUGUGUCUCUUAAAUAGUAACAAUUAGUUGGCCCAGCCUGCUGGAAUGGAAGACGAAGUUAUUUUGCAAAUCUUUCCUUCUUCUUCAGUGAUGCGUAUUUACAAAGGAAUCAAGCAUAAAACUAAUAUCUGCGCAUGGCAUUGGUAACAUUCACGAUAUCUAUGUUGCAAGUGAUUAGUCCUUUUAGCUGAUAUUUUCAAUCCAGAGAGAUGUUAUCACAUAUUUUCUGUACGAUGAUGACUCAGAAACUGCUUACAGAGUGGGAGAACUUGGUUCCCAUUGUGGGCACACCAUGAAAAUAGUCAGAGGUUAGUAUUGCAGAUGUAGCAUAGGAGUGAUGUGACCGUUUGUCUAAACCAUUUCUGCCAUUCUUUCACUUUACGUAAGGUAGUUGACUAUACUACUUCCAUUCUGAGCAAAGCAAUAAAACUUCCACAGCAAUACAGAUCUAGGCUUAUUUACAUAUUUACCAAAACUCAUCACCACCAGUUGCUACUGUAUACAGCUGUGUCACUCAACAUCUGAACAGCUUCCUGCAAGUAAAUAUAUUAUUAAUUGUGGAAGAUCAGCUAAUCCAACUGAUGCUAGAGUAGUGACCACCUAACCUGUAUGAGAAGUCAGAAGAUACAGAAAUUGUAAACAAGGCUUUGUCUAACAUAUACCAGUUAGAGGCUUUGUGUAAGAACAGGUGGUAUAGAGCCCUUCUCUCCUCCACCCCUGUCAUAUAAAGUACAAGAUGCUUGCUAUCUUAGGUAUUCUGUCCUAAUCUGACAGAACAAUGUACUCUCUUACACAACAAGAGCUAUAUAAAUAACAAAUAACAAUAUAGAAAAAUAUACUGUAAUUUGUUGAUAAAACUCCUGAGAUUCCACUCUCUGUCAUAGCACUUUAGGAGCAGGUGAUGUCUGAUGUUGUGUUUCUUGAGAAACAUACAUUUGCAUUUAUGGAAAAACACUGAUUGUUUCAUUACUUUUUUUUUCAACAAUACAGUAAAGUACUAAAUCUUCACGUACUUUUCUUGUAAAGCAGUGCUUGUUCAUCUUCCUCUGGGGUUAGAAACGUAGUUCUUCCAGUGCUUAUCUCUACCAUUAUAUUGUUUGUUCACAAAAUUUGUGUCUAUUAUAAGUGCAUGAGAAUACUCAGAAAGCCCAAGUAUCUAUUUAGAUUCUUCAUGAUGGGGUUCAUAUAAACUGAGUAUAGAAAGGGAUCAGUACAAGAUAACCUGAGCUCAGCUAUACUCUGUCAGGAUAAAAAUCGAUGUUAUAGGGGGGAAAUAUGUGGAAGUCAAAGGAAUCACUGAACUUAAAUCCCAAUCUAAAGCAAGCAUAAAACACUUUGCACUGGUAUAGCUUUACGCAAUAUAUUUUAUUCUUUAUAAGUAAUUUAUAUGCAUUCAGUUUUGUCACUGUGUCAUGGUUUUGUGAUUUUCGGUUAUUGGUACUCCACAUCAUAACAUCAUGUAGUGGAUAUACCUGGUUCUCAGAAGAGAAGGACUACUACAGUCCCCACGGUACUUUGCUCC
Molecule: long non-coding RNA, 6327 nt
Organism: Numida meleagris (helmeted guineafowl)
Lineage: Eukaryota; Metazoa; Chordata; Aves; Galliformes; Numididae
Exons: 6
Source: RefSeq, a predicted model, not a curated record